GAAAUGCGAUAAGUAAUGUGAAUUGCAGAAUUCAGUGAAUCAUCGAAUCUUUGAACGCACAUUGCGCCCGCCAGUAUUCUGGCGGGCAUGCCUGUCCGAGCGUCAUUUCAACCAUCAAGCCCCCGGGCUUGUGUUGGGGACCUGCGGCUGCCGCAGGCCCUGAAAACCAGUGGCGGGCUCGCUGUCACACCGAGCGUAGUAGCAAUCACCUCGCUCAGGGCGUGCUGCGGGUUCCGGCCGUUAAACAGCCUUACAAAACCCAAGGUUGACCUCGGAUCAGGUAGGAAGACCCGCUGAACUUAAGC
RNAcentral lists this unclassified non-coding RNA (305 nucleotides) under plant metagenome. Its description in RNAcentral is "partial contains 5.8S ribosomal RNA, internal transcribed spacer 2, and large subunit ribosomal RNA". The stretch from base 1 to 105 matches the Rfam family "5.8S ribosomal RNA", at positions 50 to 154 of the family's 154-position model. The record is from RNAcentral.